UGAGCCCAGCCAAGGCAACUUAGCAAGACCCUGUCUCAAAAUAAGAAAUAACAAAGAGCUGGGAUGUAGUUCGGUGCGAAGGUCCGCGGUUCAUCUCCGGGAACACCAAAAAAAGGAGAGGGAAGAGGCUUCGCUCUAGAUGUAGCCGAGAUGACAGCGUUCGCUACCUUUUCUCUCAGUUCUCCGUGCUCCUUAGUGUCUCACCGGAAAGACAGCUGCCAGCAUUUCUCAUCUCCUGCAGAUCCACGCUGAACGGGCGAAAUUACAG
Long non-coding RNA from Fukomys damarensis (Damara mole-rat), 268 nucleotides. RefSeq lists it as uncharacterized. NCBI's taxonomy places the organism in Eukaryota, Metazoa, Chordata, Mammalia, Rodentia, Bathyergidae. The transcript is spliced from 2 exons. The record is from RefSeq and is a predicted model, not a curated record.